Molecule: long non-coding RNA, 489 nt
Filed under: Androctonus crassicauda
Lineage: Eukaryota; Metazoa; Arthropoda; Arachnida; Scorpiones; Buthidae
Source: RNAcentral
CAUGAGCAAUAUUUUUAAAAGCAUCAUUAUUAAUAUAAUAUUCAAUAUAAUAAUAAUAGGAUAGCUUUCAUAAAAAUAUAUAAAUUGCAUGCAUUCAAUAUACAGGGUGAGCACGAAAACAUUCCCAUAUUUAAAAAUGUAAAAAAAAUAAAAUUAACAUGAAUAUCUUGAUAAUAUUGAUAUUUAUGAUUCAGUUAACUCAAGAAUUUUCAUUUCUUUUCUUUAAAGAAUUGCUAGGCAUGAUUUUGACAGCUAGAGGGCAGUGACGCUUCACAAGGUAUGGUCGGAGCUGAACUAUUGCAUCGAUAUUUUUCACAUAACAGGUGGCGCACACGCCAAGUGUUUGUGAUUAAAAUUAAUAUCACCCAGAAAUUUAUGCAUUUAUUUACUACGGUUUUUAUUUUGACAAAAUAUUCCUUUUGGUAUAAAAAUUUUACUUUUUCAAAUCUUGGAAAUUUUUUGUGCUCACCCUGUAUAUAUACAUCAGUU